ACGGAGGGUGCAAGCGUUGUUCGGAAUCAUUGGGCGUAAAGGGCGUGUAGGCGGUUAAUCAAGUUAGAUGUGAAAUCCCUGGGCUCAACCCAGGAAGUGCAUCUGAGACUGAUGAACUAGAGUACAGGAGAGGAAGGUGGAAUUCCUGGUGUAGGGGUGAAAUUCGUAGAUAUCGGGAAGAACACCGGUGGCGAAGGCGGCCUUCUGGCCUGAUACUGACGCUGAGACGCGAAAGCGUGGGGAGCAAACAG
This 251-nucleotide ribosomal RNA is filed under the name uncultured prokaryote. Its description in RNAcentral is "partial 16S rRNA". It matches the Rfam family "Bacterial small subunit ribosomal RNA", at positions 525 to 775 of the family's 1533-position model. The record is from RNAcentral.